RNAcentral lists this ribosomal RNA (505 nucleotides) under uncultured Glomus. Its description in RNAcentral is "SSU rRNA". It matches the Rfam family "Eukaryotic small subunit ribosomal RNA", at positions 569 to 1075 of the family's 1831-position model. Lineage: Eukaryota; Fungi; Glomeromycota; Glomeromycetes; Glomerales; Glomeraceae. The record is from RNAcentral.
AGCAGCCGCGGUAAUUCCAGCUCCAAUAGCGUAUAUUAAAGUUGUUGCAGUUAAAAAGCUCAUAGUUGAAUUUCGGGGUUAAUAAGUUGGUCGUACCUAUGGUAUGUACUGGCUUUAUUGAUUCCUACCUCUUGACGAACUGUGAUGCCAUUAAUUUGGUGUUGCAAGGAAUCAGGACUGUUACCUUGAAAAAAUUAGAGUGUUUAAAGCAGGCUUACGCUUGAAUACAUUAGCAUGGAAUAAUGAAAUAGGACGUUUGAACCUAUUUUGUUGGUUUCUAGGAUCGACGUAAUGAUUAAUAGGGAUAGUUGGGGGCAUUAGUAUUCAAUUGUCAGAGGUGAAAUUCUUGGAUUUAUUGAAGACUAACUACUGCGAAAGCAUUUGCCAAGGAUGUUUUCAUUAAUCAAGACGAAAGUUGGGGGCUCGAAGACGAUCAGAUACCGUCGUAGUCUUAACCAUAAACUAUGCCGACUAGGGAUCGGAUGAUGUUAAUUUUUUUAAUGAC